This is a long non-coding RNA of Quercus lobata, 1080 nucleotides long. RefSeq lists it as uncharacterized. The record is from RefSeq and is a predicted model, not a curated record. The transcript has 2 exons. Lineage: Eukaryota; Viridiplantae; Streptophyta; Magnoliopsida; Fagales; Fagaceae.
ACAUGCCUCACUACUCUCUCAUCUCCUCCACAGAGCUUCCUUUCUCUCAACCUCCAGCCACCUCUGUUUUUCUUCAACAACCUUAAACCGGCAAGGGCAUCUACUCUCUCAAUCUAACCCAGACGGCACACAGCCAAGCCAAGCCCUUCUCAUCCUCCUCCACCUCUAUUUUUCUCAUGUCCACCGCUGUUUUCUCAGCAACCUGAGACCGGCAAGAGCUUCCUCUCUCUCAGCCUCCGGCCACGUACUGACGGGAAGAAAAUACUCUCUCUUUAAAACCCAAUCAACGCCUCUCUCAUCCUCAUUCUUUGUUCUUCUCAGAAACCCCAACCACUGCCACAGGUUCCGCCUUUCCCAUCCCCCACCCACCUCUCCGGCGCCAAGGACCACCGAUUCUAAAAAAUCUUUUCGAGGCUCUGACUUCUUUCCAGGAUUUGAAGUAAAAAAUUUCAAGGAAAUAUUGAAGAAUGUUAAUUUUGCAACAAAAUGACCAAGAUUGACCGAAAAUCAGACCGUCCAAUCAGGAUAAUUCUAGCUCCAUCAUGAAGGGAAUGAAGCCUUUUUUUUUGUGGCUGCUCAUACGUCAAAAUCGGUUUUGAAUCUCAUAAGAUAUUGUAAAGCAAUUAGGUCAACACUCAAAUCAUUUUUUUACCAAGUGUUGGAAGAGUGCAACGUGGUCAACAAGCGUCAAAGAACGUCAAGUUUGGGUAAGAAAUGUCUUUGGAAUGUGCAUCACACAGGUUCUGAUUUAUUAAGGAUGGUAUUAUAGACCAUGGACAAAGACAACAAUCUGUGCUCCUCUAAUUUUUAGAACGUGAAGUGGGGACUGAUGAUGAGCGCUUCUCUUAGUGGAAUUUUAACUAUGAACGUAGAGAAUAAAUAUUCAACUGUAAGAAGACCCCGUGUAUUUGUACCUAAUUACUUACUCUUGGAUACUGAGUGCCCAAAUCCCAACUUCACCAGCAUUCGGUCCAUGAAUCAUAAUUGUGGCUAACUUGACUUGCGGAUAGCACAAUGAAUUUGCAGCAUAUUGACUUAGAGAAAGAUGUUGAAAGAUUAAUGGAUUUGACAUUGAAGUCA